GUCCGGCGGUGGAGCGGUUGCGUCUCUUUGAGGAACAAUGGCUCUCCAUCGUGUAGCCGAGCCGAUGCUUGGAAAUUGUAAGAUACAAAGGAGAAUUCGAAGACGUGGGAGGAUAUUUGCUGUAAAAUGACUUGGUUAAAAACGGAGGCUCUUCCAAGAAUCGUGGGGUUUGAUGAAUAUUCAUGAAGGUCUGGUCUGGAUGUCUUUGGCUAGCUGGUUUAUUUCAAUGAGGGAUUUGCUGCCUGACCAUUGAAGAGGAGACCAGCUUGUUAGGAAGUUGCUACCAUUUCGCCAUUUCUGGCUAGUGCCACGAGAUAAACUUGUCUGUUGUAUGAAAAACUGGUGAUCAGGAAAAGCUCUUCAUUUUACAGACUUGGAAAGAGAAAUCAAGAGGACUUAUUGGUUAACUGAUAGAUUAUGAACCAGCAUCGAGUCCAGAUUAAUAUUUUAUUAGAUUCUAGCUCUUUAAUGUCAUAGUUCCCUGCUGUCAUAGCAGUAGGUUGUUUCCUAUAUCUGCUUCUAUUUCAAGUGCAAAAAUAUAUGUUUAAUAGGGUGUUUUUUUUAUUUUCCAUCAAGGACACUUGUAAUCAACAUUGUUCUGCAUAAAUUCUCCCCUGUUUAAAUAUCAAUACAUAAUGGUAAUUAAAGCUAAGUAAGAAAUUAUACUCACAAUUGUGGAAUUGAAGGUAUGGAACAAAUGACUGACAAAAUAAAACUGGGUUAAAAUAUUGUGCAGAAUGGAUUUAAUGCCAAUAGUAAUAAUAUCUGAUCAAGCCUAAGGUGGUUGGGCUCUAUGUGUCAUGGUUUUUCCUAAAAUAUUUACCUACGUUUUUAUAGUUGAUAGUCUUCAGAGUAUUAAGGAGGCAUAUAAAAUUUCUUAAAUGCUUGCGAACACAUUAAAACAAUGUUGGUGCAAUCAUGGAUACAGCACCUAGUAUUUUGGGUUAUCUGCACAUUAUACUUAACAGUGGACUAUACAAUGAUUAUACAUGCAUCAAGUAGUACAAUGCCAAUAAAACCUUUAGCAAAUGCAUUAUUAAAAUAGACCUUGUAUGGAUUAAUGGAAACCUGAGGACAGUUAAGCUGAAAUAAUUAGUCACAGGAAUGGGUGAUUUCAAGUUCAAAGCUUAAUGCAGCAGACAAGGCAGAAACCAAAAAAAAAAUGGAAAAAGUAAUUUAGCAUGAUUGUUUCAUUUUGGUUGUAAAUGCCCAACUACCUGGGGAAAAAAGGCUGUGAAGCCUUAGACCUAAUUUUGAUAAGACGUUCAUGGGCAGAAAGGGUGUAUAAAACAGUGACUGAUAGAAUCUGUGUUAUUUUAUGACUAAAGAUUUAUUAUGCAUACAAGAGCUGGGGUGCAGGCCAGAUAUAUAUUCUUGGGGUGAGAGGUUUCACCAGAGACAGUGGGGAACAGACAGACUGAAAUACACUGGAGGGGGGAGCGGAGGGUAAAACUGGAGAGAUCUUAAUGUGGGUCACUUCCCUGCUGUUGAUGGGACUCAUGCUGCAGUGGCUGGAUCACUUCAUAGUGCUAACACUUCACCCCUUGUGCCACCAGGGAGGCACUAUUUUAUGGAUUUACAGCUCUAAAGAAUCAUCAGAGUGAUAUCUGGAACUAGCAAUUUGUGCUGGUGCAGGUGAAUUUACCCGUGAAGAAAUAUUUGGUAUCGGUGACCUUAAGCCUCAAUCCAUGAUUCCCCUUUCAUAUUCUACUGGGAACCUUCUAAUAAACUAUUUUUGUUAACUUGUUUUUACGGUAAAUAUUUAAUGAUUGGUGAAAGACUAGGGCCUUGCACAAAACUUGGAAGUCUUUACCCUUUCCUCAAAGAUGGCAAACCACUACAAAACAAGGCUGGGUUGUGAAAUAAGCAAUUUGCUUUGGAGCCCUCUGACCGCAUUUCCUGAUUUUUUGUUUGUCCUUUUUUGCUCAUCAAUCCUGUAACGUUUGUUUCCCUAGUUGAUAAAAUCCCAACCAUAUUUGUGUGUGUCCACUUGAUAUAUUGCACUAUAUUAGGCUCCUGCCAAUGAGGUCAAAGGUAAAAUACUGGCUUGUCCUUUGUCAGCGUGUUAGAUCCCAAGAAAAUGGGGAAGUCAGAGAUGAAGUACUAUAGAAGUUUAUCUGAAAUUGAACAAAUUUAAAUCCAAAUCACCUCAGAUAUGAAGAUAAAUUUAGUUAAGAGACUGAGCAAAGAAUGCACCAGAACACGAGGGUGACAAGUUGAACUUUAGUAUCAAUUGGAUUGGAUAUAUGUGGGAUGGGUAGGAAAGGCUAUAGUACUAACUUGCUAUUUAAGAAUAGGAGCAAGGGAGUUAGAGCUGUAAAGACGUAUUGCAGUCAUUUGAAUUCCCUAACACUCCACCCAUUUUUAUUUGGAAGGCGCAUAGUCAAAAAGUUCUGUUAAUUGCAAGAACUGCACCUAAAAAAAAUGAACAUUCUGAAAAUAGUGGUUUUAGUGGAAUUAAACCUAAAAUCUCAGCAUAUAAUAACAUCAGUUUCCAGUACAAUUAGAUGAUUCAAACCUUGUAGUCUGUACCAGGAUGGCAUUUUUCAUUCCCAAAGCAGAUGUCUUGCAGUUAGAUUGUACUGGCCUUUUCUGAUUUAUUUGAUGUAUUGGUUAUUAACUUGUUUCUAAAACAGAUGGCUACAGACAAGGACCAGGAGCCUUAAAUUGUUAGGCAGAUAAGGGAUUUAGCUUCCAGAACCUUCAAUGAAGACUAAAAGCUUUAGACCUAAAAAGUGGUUGUAAUAAACUUGCUUCAGAGUUUGAAAGAACAAUACAUAUUCUUGGUUUUAGUAACUAGCCAAUAGGGCUUUCUCCAUGCCAAACACUAUGCUUCCAAGUUAUCUUAAAAUACAGUAGUUUCAAACCUACAGUUUGGUGCACUAUAAUUAGUUGCAUUCCCAGAAAUCCAAUAUCCUCUGCUCUUGACUUCCCAGUCCUCUGAACUGAGCAUGCACUUCAUAACCCUUGCAACCAGUCUCUGCAACACCUUUUAGCUGUUCUCGAGGUUUUUAUGCCAGUUUCCCAGUUAGAGCCUUUAUUUGAAUUCCAGCCUACUAGGAUAGUUUGCAUAUCUUUUACUAGUCCUCCCUGGGAGUGGGACCCUCCUUCCUAUGUUCUCCUAAAAGCUUGGUUCCCAGCAUCGUAUUUAUAAUUGCCUGACUGAAACUGAAUAUUGCCACUGCCUCUGGCCUUGCUCCACCUCAUUGAUUCUAUUUAUUUAGGUAUGUACAGAUAAUCUGAUCAAAGCAUGAGUGUGCCAUGAAGUUCAGGAAAUAUGAACUAUCUUGGAAGAGGAGAAAGGAUACCUAUCCAUAGGAGAACUAGAAUCUUUAGUCUCAUUCUCACAAGCCCUUACCUCCUCCCUUUAUGCUAGUCCAAUACUGAUGUCCUGGCAUGUCAUGAAAACAGAACAUGGGAGUGGGUUUGGGGAGAUUAGUGUGAUUUUAAGUAUAGUUGACAGGAUAGAUUUCCAUGAGAAAGUGAAGCAAGGAUUUAUAGAAGGUGAGAGAUUGAACUCUUCACAUAUCUGAGAAAAGGGCAUUCCCACACCAGCAGCCCAAAGACUAGAGCAUGUGUGGUAAGAACAGAAUGAUCAGGGCAUGCAGAUUGUGUAGGGGCUUAUGGGUCAUUGAAAAGAUUUUUCUCUGGGGCCUCCCCUGGUGGCACAGCUGUUCAGCGCUGGGCUGCGAAGCUGCCUGCAGCCUCUGCAGCACUGGUUCGAUCCCCGGCCACCGGCGAGGGUCCCCAUGGCGCGACAGACCUCUCCUGCUGCCCGCUGCUCCCCUCAGCAGUGUACUUCAGUCCUUCUGCCUGCUCUGCUCCCCGCUCUGGCUCUGGUGAAUUCUCUCACCCUCCCACGCUUCUGACUAUACCCAGUGCUUGUAUAAAUAAAUAAAUAAAUCUUUACCAAAAAAAAAAAAAAGAUUUUGCUCUGAGCAAAAUGGGAACUACUGUAAAAGAUAACACAGAAACUCAAAGUAUGAGUUAAACAUCAAAACUUACAGCCCAGAUUAUGGUGUCUACCACUCACCAUUAAAAGGAAACAGGACUCAUUGAAGAAAUUGCAAAUCUGAUGCAAAAUAUGUACAAGAUAAGCCUGAUGCAUCUUGCUGUAGCAGAGAGCAAGAAUAUUAUCAAUGACUGCUAAUAUUAUGCUAAAAGAAUUUGAAGCCUCUCCCACUGCCCAUAGAUGGAAAAUGUGACUUAUUAAGGGUAAUAAACACUAAAGUUUGAAGUACAUGAUUAUGUUAAAAUCUAUGAAUUCAUAAUGAUACUGAAAACAAAUGAUUUUGAUGUUGUUAGAAAAUGCUUAUGAAACUACUCAUCGAUUUUCAGAAGUGGCAAAUAUAGGGACUUUCCAAUACUCACUGGAGUAAUGAGUAAUCAAGUAGAAGGUGAGAAAGUUUCUCUUUAUUAAUGUAUCCCACUAAAUAACUGAAAAAGACUGAUAAUUAGAAUAUCACCAUUUUGCAACAUCUAAUGAAUUAGUGUCUAAAGAGUGGUUAUUGAUCUGCUAACAUCAAGAAAAGUGAUGGAACCAGUCGUUAUGUGCCCCUGAAGGAAGAAUUUAACACCUCCUGUGAAGUUCUUUUGCCCCAAACACCAACAACAAAAAUAUGAUUUGAUGUAACUUCCAAGAAGACAGAAACAUUAAACUACACAAGACAUGCAAUCAGUAAAAACCAGACUAUGGAAAUCACAGUUUCUUCAAUAAAUUCAAUAAAUAAAUUGCAAAACCCAAGAAAAAGAAUGGGUAACUUAAACAGAGAUUGAAAAGUUAUAUCAUGUUUGCUAAGUUUGUAUCUCAUUUGUAUUCUGAUUUAAUAUAGUAAGAAUCAUGACAUUUAUGAGAUGGUUAAAUGUUUGAAUACUGACAAUAUUUGAUUAUGUUAAGGAAUAACCGGGACUUUACUAGGUAUGAAAUGGCAUUUUGUGCUUGUUAGACUUUGUGUAUUUUAGAUACAUGUUGAAUUCUUAUGGAUGAAACGAUUUGAAGGUAUAAGACAUGCUUCAAAAUAAUACAGAAAAUAGAGGAAGUGGUUGAAGUGUAUAAGUUAAACAAGAUUAGCCAUGAAUUUUGAUAAAUGUCAAAUGAAUGCAUAGGAAUUUAUUAUACUCUAUUUUUGUACACAUUUGAGAUUUUACAAUAAAAGGUGCUU
This is a long non-coding RNA of Talpa occidentalis (Iberian mole), 5162 nucleotides long. RefSeq lists it as uncharacterized. The record is from RefSeq and is a predicted model, not a curated record. The transcript has 6 exons. NCBI's taxonomy places the organism in Eukaryota, Metazoa, Chordata, Mammalia, Eulipotyphla, Talpidae.